RNAcentral lists this ribosomal RNA (708 nucleotides) under uncultured archaeon. Its description in RNAcentral is "bacterial SSU rRNA". It matches the Rfam family "Archaeal small subunit ribosomal RNA", at positions 1 to 670 of the family's 1478-position model. The record is from RNAcentral.
UUCCGGUUGAUCCUGCCGGAGGCUACUGCUAUUGGAAUCCGAUUAAGCCAUGCGAGUCUAAAGGACUUCGGUCCUUGGCGGACGGCUCAGUAACACGUGGAGAACCUGCCCUCAGGAGGGGGAUAACCCCGGGAAACUGGGAAUAAUACCCCAUAGGUCUAGGAUGCUGGAAUGCUUCUAGGCUGAAAGCUCCGGCGCCUGAGGAUGGCUCUGCGGCUUAUCAGGUUGUAGUGAGGGUAACGUCCUCACUAGCCUAUGACGGGUACGGGCCCUGAGAGGGGAAGCCCGGAGAUGGACUCUGAGACACGAGUCCAGGCCCUACGGGGCGCAGCAGGCGCGAAAACUCCGCAAUGCUCGAAAGAGUGACGGGGGGAUUCCAAGUGCCUACGCUCAGCGUAGGCUGUUCAGAUGCCUAAAAAGCAUCUGGAGUAAGGGCUGGGUAAGACGGGUGCCAUCUGUGGCAGCAGCCGAAAAUUUGGCUUGCUACUGCAAGGCAUAAGCCGCCGCGGUAAUACCCGCAGCUCGAGUGGUAGUCGAUUUUAUUGGGCCUAAAGCGUCCGUAUCCGGUCUGGUAAAUGCUUGGGUAAAUCGUCUGGCUUAACCAGACGAAUUCCGGGUAGACUACCAGACUUGGGACCGGUUGAGGAAGAGGGUACUUCAGGGGUAGGAGUGAAAUCCUGUAAUCCUUGAAGGACCACCAGUGGCGAA